Molecule: ribosomal RNA, 489 nt
Filed under: uncultured bacterium
Lineage: Bacteria
Description: partial 16S ribosomal RNA
Rfam family: Bacterial small subunit ribosomal RNA
Source: RNAcentral
GACGAACGCUGGCGGCGUGCUUAACACAUGCAAGUCGAACGGAAAGGCCCCCAUCUUGGUGGGGGUGCUCGAGUGGCGAACGGGUGAGUAACACGUGGGUGAUCUGCCCUGUACUUCGGGAUAAGCUUGGGAAACUGGGUCUAAUACCGGAUAGGACCAUGGUUUAGUGUCUCAUGGUGGAAAGAUUAUUGUUUUGGUGCAGGAUGAGCUCGCGGCCUAUCAGCUUGUUGGUGGGGUAAUGGCCUACCAAGGCGUCGACGGGUAGCCGGCCUGAGAGGGUGGACGGCCACAUUGGGACUGAGAUACGGCCCAGACUCCUACGGGAGGCAGCAGUGGGGAAUAUUGCACAAUGGGCGCAAGCCUGAGGCAGCGACGCCGCGUGGGGGAUGACGGCCGUCGGGUUGUAAACUCCUUUCGUUAGGGACGAAGCCGCACUUUUUUUGGGUGUGGUGACGGUACCUUUGUUAAGAAGCACCGGCUAACUACGUG